Molecule: RNase P RNA, 363 nt
Filed under: Alphaproteobacteria bacterium
Lineage: Bacteria; Pseudomonadati; Pseudomonadota; Alphaproteobacteria
Description: RNase P RNA component class A
Rfam family: Bacterial RNase P class A
About the family: Ribonuclease P (RNase P) is a ubiquitous endoribonuclease, found in archaea, bacteria and eukarya as well as chloroplasts and mitochondria. Its best characterised activity is the generation of mature 5'-ends of tRNAs by cleaving the 5'-leader elements of precursor-tRNAs.
Source: RNAcentral
UCAGAUGGCUGGAUGGCCGCGGCAUCUCCGGAUGUCGAGGAAAGUCCGGGCUCCACGGAGACAUGGUGCCGGGUAACGCCCGGCGGGGGCGACCCCAGGGAUAGCGCCACAGAAAACAGACCGCCCGCGCACGCCGCGGGUAAGGGUGAAACGGUGAGGUAAGAGCUCACCGCGGAUGCGGCAACGCAGACGGCACGGCAAGCCCCACCAGGAGCAAGACCGAAUAGGGGUGGCACAUGGGCCUGUCUUCGGCUCGUCGCCCGGGUUGGUCGCGCGAGGCGUCCGGUAACGGACGUCCCAGAGGAAUGGUCAUCCAUCCGCGCAAGCGGGGGACAGAACCCGGCUUACAGGCCAUCUGACGCA